GUUGCUGAGAGGAGGACUGCAGGUGAAGGUGUAUGGAGCUCAUCUUCCCCGAUUGUCUCAGUGACCAAGGAGGCAAACGGAGCACCACAACGGACUUCCUAUCGACCCCUACAGUACAGCACCCGGGGCACGUGACCCCCCUAGUUACGGCCAUGGCACCUCCUCCAGGCCCCUAGAUCCCAGGUCUCCAGCAGCAUGCAGCACCUGACUACAUGUCUGCACCCGCAGCGUCGCUGUAAUACUGCUGCCGCCUGUAAGAGGAGCCAAUUACCAGGGACAACAAGGAAACAGCUUUUAGUAGUGUUCCACUAGAAGACCUCCUCUGGAUCACCUUCUUCAAUCAGGGGGGCUAUCCGAAGACCUUCCAUCACCGCUGUGACUCCGCCAUCCACCAACAGGAACGUCUGAAAGCCCACCUGAGGAGAGACACUAAAGUGAGACAUACUGUAUAUACCCCCCAUAUAUCCUCAAAUAAACCCAACUGUAGCUCAGUUCUCUAGGCAGGCCUGGAUACGUGGUAAGGUCACAUACAGUAGGGCCUCUGCCUAAAGCGGCCAGAUUACUGGGAUUACAGACAGAUGUUCACAGUCUACAUAAAUGUUUAUAAUCCAACACUUACUUGUGCUUUUGCAUAUAUAGAGCCUGAGUCUGAGUCGUGUCACGCCUGUAUUUGCAUCCAUUGAGGCAGACUAUGGACUAUUAUUUCAAGCAGCCUGGCCCAUUGCACAAGACGUGACACGGACACACCUACUUGCUACUUCGGACACAUCAUGCAACACUUUUG
This is a long non-coding RNA of Pseudophryne corroboree (corroboree frog), 784 nucleotides long. RefSeq lists it as uncharacterized. The record is from RefSeq and is a predicted model, not a curated record. NCBI's taxonomy places the organism in Eukaryota, Metazoa, Chordata, Amphibia, Anura, Myobatrachidae. The transcript has 4 exons.